This 595-nucleotide ribosomal RNA is filed under the name uncultured bacterium. Its description in RNAcentral is "bacterial SSU rRNA". It matches the Rfam family "Bacterial small subunit ribosomal RNA", at positions 470 to 1059 of the family's 1533-position model. The record is from RNAcentral.
UGACGGUAUCAUAUGAAUAAGCACCGGCUAACUCCGUGCCAGCAGCCGCGGUAAUACGGGGGGUGCAAGCGUUACUCGGAAUCACUGGGCGUAAAGAGCAUGUAGGCGGGUGAAUAAGUUGGAAGUGAAAUCCUAUAGCUUAACUAUAGAACUGCUUCCAAAACUGUUCACCUAGAGUAUGGGAGAGGUAGAUGGAAUUUCUGGUGUAGGGGUAAAAUCCGUGGAGAUCAGAAGGAAUACCGAUUGCGAAGGCGAUCUACUGGAACAUUACUGACGCUCAGAUGCGAAAGCGUGGGGAGCAAACAGGAUUAGAUACCCUGGUAGUCCACGCCCUAAACGAUGUACACUAGUUGUUGCUAUACUAGAUAUGGCAGUAAUGCAGUUAACACUUUAAGUGUACCACCUGGGGGAGUACGGUCGCAAGAUUAAAACUCAAAGGAAUAGACGGGGACCCGCACAAGCGGUGGAGCAUGUGGUUUAAUUCGACGAUACGCGAAAAACCUUACCUGGCCUUGACAUAGUAGGAAUCUUUAAGAGAUUAGAGAGUGCUAGCUUGCUAGAACCUACAUACAGGUGCUGCACGGCUGUCGUCAGC